UUCCAUUCUCCCAUUUUUAAUAAAACAAAUGCAUUUUGUAAACACAUAAUUGUACAUAUUUUAAUAAGCAGUAUUUGGCAUUUAUAUUAUCCCACACCUCGAUUAUAUCUACUGGUCAUAAAUACAAAAGAUGGUCAGCUAAGUAUUAGCAAGAGGCGCAAUGGCUGAGCAGUAAAGCGCUUGCUUCCGAACCGGGGAUCCUGGGAUCGAAUCUUGGUAAAGACAGGGAUUUGAAAAUUUCUGAUUUUUUUGGGCGCCCCUGAGUCCACCCAACUGUAUUGGUUACCUGACUUUAGUUCGGGAAAGUAAAGU
Non-coding RNA from Biomphalaria pfeifferi, 312 nucleotides. The record is from the annotation of a GenBank genome assembly. Lineage: Eukaryota; Metazoa; Mollusca; Gastropoda; Planorbidae.